Molecule: ribosomal RNA, 527 nt
Filed under: Salmonella enterica subsp. enterica serovar Heidelberg
Lineage: Bacteria; Pseudomonadati; Pseudomonadota; Gammaproteobacteria; Enterobacterales; Enterobacteriaceae
Also listed under: 3 other names
Description: partial 23S ribosomal RNA
Rfam family: Bacterial large subunit ribosomal RNA
Source: RNAcentral
AGACCCGAAACCCGGUGAUCUAGCCAUGGGCAGGUUGAAGGUUGGGUAACACUAACUGGAGGACCGAACCGACUAAUGUUGAAAAAUUAGCGGAUGACCUGUGGCUGGGGGUGAAAGGCCAAUCAAACCGGGAGAUAGCUGGUUCUCCCCGAAAGCUAUUUAGGUAGCGCCUCGUGAAUUCAUCUCCGGGGGUAGAGCACUGUUUCGGCUAGGGGGCCAUCCCGGCUUACCAACCCGAUGCAAACUGCGAAUACCGGAGAAUGUUAUCACGGGAGACACACGGCGGGUGCUAACGUCCGUCGUGAAGAGGGAAACAACCCAGACCGCCAGCUAAGGUCCCAAAGUCAUGGUUAAGUGGGAAACGAUGUGGGAAGGCCCAGACAGCCAGGAUGUUGGCUUAGAAGCAGCCAUCAUUUAAAGAAAGCGUAAUAGCUCACUGGUCGAGUCGGCCUGCGCGGAAGAUGUAACGGGGCUAAACCAUGCACCGAAGCUGCGGCAGCGACACUGUGUGUUGUUGGGUAGGGGAG